Molecule: ribosomal RNA, 200 nt
Filed under: uncultured organism
Description: partial small subunit ribosomal RNA
Rfam family: Bacterial small subunit ribosomal RNA
Source: RNAcentral
CGUCAAGUCCUCAUGGCCCUUAUGGGUAGGGCUUCACACGUCAUACAAUGGUCGGUACAGAGGGCAGCCAACCCGCGAGGGGGAGCAAAUCCCAGAAAGCCGAUCGUAGUCCGGAUUGCAGUCUGCAACUCGACUGCAUGAAGUCGGAAUCGCUAGUAAUCGCGGAUCAGCAUGCCGCGGUGAAUACGUUCCCGGGCCUU